This 616-nucleotide ribosomal RNA is filed under the name Lactobacillus sp. DumLac12. Its description in RNAcentral is "bacterial SSU rRNA". It matches the Rfam family "Bacterial small subunit ribosomal RNA", at positions 48 to 628 of the family's 1533-position model. Lineage: Bacteria; Bacillati; Bacillota; Bacilli; Lactobacillales; Lactobacillaceae. The record is from RNAcentral.
CUAAUACAUGCAAGUCGAACGCACUGACGUCACCGAAGCUGCUUGCAGUGGACGUUGAUUGACGUGAGUGGCGGACGGGUGAGUAACACGUGGGUAACCUACCCUUAAGUGGGGGAUAACAUUUGGAAACAGAUGCUAAUACCGCAUAACCAUUCAGACCACAUGGUCUGAAUGUAAAAGACGGCCUUUGGCUGUCACUUUUGGACGGACCCGCGGCGUAUUAGUUAGUUGGUAAGGUAACGGCUUACCAAGACAAUGAUACGUAGCCGACCUGAGAGGGUAAUCGGCCACAUUGGGACUGAGACACGGCCCAAACUCCCUACGGGAGGCAGCAGUAGGGAAUCUUCCACAAUGGACGAAAGUCUGAUGGAGCAACGCCGCGUGAGUGAAGAAGGUUUUAGGAUCGUAAAACUCUGUUGUUGGAGAAGAACAGGGACUAGAGUAACUGUUAGUCCUUUGACGGUAUCCAACCAGAAAGCCACGGCUAACUACGUGCCAGCAGCCGCGGUAAUACGUAGGUGGCAAGCGUUGUCCGGAUUUAUUGGGCGUAAAGCGAGCGCAGGCGGUUUUUUAAGUCUGAUGUGAAAGCCUUCGGCUUAACCGAAGAAGUGCAUUA